GAUGAACGCUGGCGGCGUGCUUAACACAUGCAAGUCGAGCGGGCAAUUUAUCUAGCACUGAUUACUUCAAAUGGAAAUCAUAAGUGUAAUCAUGAAUUUCUACCUUUAAUAAAGAAAAAAGAAAUUCAUGUACGCAAAUAGUGAUAACACAUUUUAGUGGAGUGAUGAGUGCUGGAUAAAUUGCUAGCGGCGGACGGGUGCGUAACACGUGGGUAACCUGCCCCUAUCACUGGGAUAACACACUGAAAAGUGUGCUAAUACCAGAUAAUAUAAGCUUUUGGCAUCAUUAGCUUAUCAAAGAAUUUCGGAUAGGGAUGGGCCCGCGUCUGAUUAGCUUGUUGGUGAGGUAAUGGCUCACCAAGGCAACGAUCAGUAGCCGACCUGAGAGGGUGAUCGGCCACACUGGAACUGAGACACGGUCCAGACUCCUACGGGAGGCAGCAGUGGGGAAUAUUGCACAAU
Molecule: ribosomal RNA, 462 nt
Filed under: uncultured bacterium
Lineage: Bacteria
Description: bacterial SSU rRNA
Rfam family: Bacterial small subunit ribosomal RNA
Source: RNAcentral